GGGCGGGGUUAACAGCACGCAAACACAAAUGUCGCUGCAAAGUUUUUGACGCCACUUCCGGCGGCAGCAGGACAUGAUGAGCUUUAGAUCUUUUCACAGCAGGACACUGAUGGACCUCAAACCACCCUGUAACACUCCUCAUCUGAGUAACCAUGGCGACAAACUCAAUAAUGACUUACAUGUUCAGACCAAUUUUAAACAUGCUGAUAUCCAGAAAAAUGGACGGGCAGGAUUUCUGAGAUCAUUAUCCAUGUUCACACACAGAAAUUCAACCGGGCCACUGCUCCGUGGCCACACCCACUAAACAUCACUCCUUAGAAACAUCUCAGUGGCUGAUGCCAUGAAUGUCUGAUCAAAUAGGGCAUACUAGGAGAGAGAGCAUGAGGAGGGACUGAGAAAGAGCCAAACAGGUGAUGGGGAAUACACUUAUCAUGAUAAUCAUCAAGGUCACCUUGAAGGAUUCAUGUAGGUUCAAAUGAAAGGGUAACUACUACUACUACUACUUUUGAGGCAGGAGAAGGAAGAAAAGCAGGAGGAGAAGCAGGAGCAGAAAAAGAAGCAGGAGCAGGAAGAAAAGCAGGAGGA
Long non-coding RNA from Silurus meridionalis, 585 nucleotides. RefSeq lists it as uncharacterized. NCBI's taxonomy places the organism in Eukaryota, Metazoa, Chordata, Actinopteri, Siluriformes, Siluridae. The record is from RefSeq and is a predicted model, not a curated record. The transcript is spliced from 3 exons.